AGAGCGAACGCUGGCGGCGUGCUUAACACAUGCAAGUCGAACGCGCAGCAUUCUGUAGCAAUACAGGGUGUGGGCGCGUGGCGAACGGGUGCGUAACACGUGGAUAACCUUCCUUCAGGUGGGGAAUAACCCAGUGAAAAUUGGGCUAAUACCGCAUAACAAAACGAUGAGACAUCUUGUUGUUUUCAAAGGCGCAAGUCGCCAGAAGAGGGAUCCGCGGCCGAUUAGCUUGUUGGCGGGGUAAUGGCCCACCAAGGCAAUGAUCGGUA
RNAcentral lists this ribosomal RNA (269 nucleotides) under uncultured bacterium. Its description in RNAcentral is "partial small subunit ribosomal RNA". It matches the Rfam family "Bacterial small subunit ribosomal RNA", at positions 26 to 285 of the family's 1533-position model. The record is from RNAcentral.